Long non-coding RNA from Aphis gossypii (cotton aphid), 2968 nucleotides. RefSeq lists it as uncharacterized. Lineage: Eukaryota; Metazoa; Arthropoda; Insecta; Hemiptera; Aphididae. The transcript has 3 exons. The record is from RefSeq and is a predicted model, not a curated record.
UGCGACUUUAUCAACCGCCACCGCGGGCGACUACGACGCGACACGAUCGAGUUCCCGACCAAAGCCCCAGGGCUAGGCGGGACGGGAAGAGACGAGUACCGGCCGCCGGCGGUCGGUGUCGCCUUGACCGUCAAGGCGUCGACCGGAACGGGCCCGUUCGUUUUUCGUCGUCGACGCGAUUCGCACGGUCCAACGACCGUUGUUCUCGGCCUUCGUCGUUUUUUUUUCUCUCGUGUCAAUAUAAUUUUCAUUGUACUACCUUGUACAGUUUUCAUCGUGUACGAAGUGUACGCGACACUUAGAAGUGUCUAAAUUGUGUUUACAUAAUAUUCUCGUCAUCUCCCGCGGGUGUGAUACGCGCCAUCACGUCGACGAACCCAGACCACCGGUGAACCACGGACACCCCAACGGCAAUGCACCGCCGUCGUCACCGUGUCAAAAUUGGCUGUCCGCAGAGGAAUCUCCUCUAAACAGCACCGAGACUUCGUAAAGUAGGUAUACGAUCACUAUCUACCUCCAAAAAUUCACAACAUUUUUGACAAGACAAACUUUAAUUGAAAUUUUGGACAUUUAAUAAUUUUUGGCAAUCAGUUAAAAGUACUAGGUCAAUCGAAAAAAUUGUUGGCUCUAACGAUUCCAGCAGCCAACUAAUGCACUGGAUUAAAUGGCAAGGCAUAGAAGAAUGUGAUUAUAUCGAGGCUGAUUGCUGAAGAGGUGUAUUCAAUGUGCCCCCAAUUUUUUCUCGAGUUUUUUGAAAAAUAAUUAUUUUUGGAAUAAUGCUUUUAGAGGUUAUUUAUGUAUAAGUACCUAAAUAUAUGAUAUUAUGUUAUGGACAAAAUAUGGUGUAUAAAUAUAUAUUUUAAUGAAAAAUUUAAACGCAUCAUAUACUCGUAAUGGAAAGAAACCAAGACCCGGUAUAAUUUUUUUACCUAUUAAUAUUAAUUUUUUACCUAGGUAUUAUAAUGUUAUAUUUAUAACGCAUAUAAAUACUAAAUAGUGUAUUAUACAAUAAACAUAAUACUAAGUCAUACAACUUACAAGUGCAUGAGAACUAUGUUUAUUUUCAGUGUAAGCGCAAGUAUCGAUAAGGUAAUCGACUUUCAAAAAAUAAUACAUAAUAUACCUAAUUGGUAAAAUAAUUUAACAUGUAAUAUAUAAAAUUUGAAAAUCACUUCACUAAAAUACAUAGGUAAUUCCCACAAAUUGAUGACAUCGAUGGUUUUUGAUUUUUGAAAAAUAUUAUUUUCGAGCCAUUUCACCAACCACCCUCGCCCAUAAUAAUAUUGUUAUAAUAUUAGCAACAAUAUAAAAAUAUGUUUCCAACAGCACUAAAAAUUUUCUCAAUAGCGCAAUAUUCUCCAGAAUCUGAAACGGUCAGAUUAAUUGUUCGACCCCAGUGAUACGUAUUUCGUUAGAAAUCAUUAAUACAAUUAAUUUAUAAUGUAGGUUCUUCGCAGUACACAAUAUAUAAUAUAUAUAAAAUAAAAUAGGUGUAUCGUACUGAUUAUUAUCGUACAAUAUACACAUACGCACCGGCCUCCUGUAGAUUUCCUGCCUAGAGCGAAAAUGUCUAAAAGAUAAACAUGUGUUGCCGCCCGAAAUGCAACAUCAUUAUUGUUAGUUCCAUAAUACAUUAUACAUCCCGCCGCCGACCGAUACACACACACACACACACACAUUUUAUUGUUCAUUUAUAUUAUUGUUUAAAUUUGCAUUUGUGAACUAUAUAAUAUAGUAAGAUUACGCGCGAGGAAGCGCAAUCAGCCGCAUUUUUAUGUCUUUCUGUCCGUCUGCGUCGGCCGUGUAACAUUGUUAUUAUAAGAUUUAGUCUUUUUUCCAGCGUUGAUCCAUAACACAAAAGUUCGUGCGCUAAUCGCCACGUUUUUACAAUUGAUUUGCAAAGUAUAAGUUCGUGGGUGCGAAUCGCCAUUUUUUUUAUAUCUUGUAUAUAAUAUAUUGUAUUUAAACAAUAAAAAUAUAUAAAAAUCAUGUGCGGAGUUAGGGUUGAAGUGAUAUAUUAUAAAAUUGUCACAAUGUAUUCACAGUUGUGGUGCACCAAAUAUUUUAGUUCUUAAUUUCGAAUUAUUAUUAUAUUUUGAUGACAUUCGAAUUAAACAGGUACAAUUUUUAUUUCAGAUAGCUGUAGAGUGUAGACGUGGUCUCGUGUUUUGGUGGCAAAAACGUCUCUUCGAAUAUACGUAAUUCCAAUAUUAUGUUUAUUAUAGUUUAUUCUUUUAUUUUGAUUGUAAGCGUAGGCUUGAUCUUGCAGGUGGUCUGUGGGCAGGUAUGACAGUACCUAAGCCAUAUAAAUCGCUUAGGACACAAAAAGGACGGAAACGCUUGUCAUACGUGUACGAUUUAGGUCACAGCUCAGCUCUAAAAACGAAAUCGGACCACUAAAUUACGCAUCCUGUAAUGUAGAAUUACAAUACGUUUCUUUAAGUCAAGAAACAGCACUGCAGUAUUUCCUGCUCUUUAUAUUUUUACGGAUUAUAUAUUAUUUUAUAUAUUCUACAAUGUCGUACACACGUGUAAAAUACUACAAUAAUAUCGUCUUGUACCUUAACAUAAUGCGUAUAUGUUGACCGUCUGCUGUGGCCUUUGACAAUGGUUUAUAUUUGUUUAUAAUGCAUGUACCUAUAAGUACCUUGAUACCUAACGUACACCGGAAGGUACAACCGAACACGUAUACCCUUCGGACAAUGGGACAUAUGUUAUCGUCGCCGCAAACACGACUACUGUCUUUUUAUCUUUACGCUUACGGCUAUACGAAAAAAACACACACACAUCACCUUUGCGCUCAAAAACAUUUAAAACUGUUGGCUUAAAUUAUUUACGGCUUUAUAAAUACACCCAUAUGAUUUUAUAACAUAUACGAUACACCUAAUAGUCCAAAUAUAAUGUGCAUACUUCGUUCAUAUUUUAUAACAUGAUAUUAUAUGGGUACUAAGUUUUGGUAGUGUUAGUA